This 70-nucleotide transfer RNA is filed under the name Poa nervosa. RNAcentral's name for it is "partial tRNA-Phe". The stretch from base 10 to 70 matches the Rfam family "tRNA", at positions 1 to 59 of the family's 71-position model. Rfam says of the family: Transfer RNA (tRNA) molecules are approximately 80 nucleotides in length. Their secondary structure includes four short double-helical elements and three loops (D, anti-codon, and T loops). Lineage: Eukaryota; Viridiplantae; Streptophyta; Magnoliopsida; Poales; Poaceae. The record is from RNAcentral.
CAAGAAAAGGUCAGGAUAGCUCAGUUGGUAGAGCAGAGGACUGAAAAUCCUCGUGCCCCCAGUUCAAAUA